This 465-nucleotide ribosomal RNA is filed under the name uncultured bacterium. RNAcentral's name for it is "partial 16S ribosomal RNA". It matches the Rfam family "Bacterial small subunit ribosomal RNA", at positions 28 to 507 of the family's 1533-position model. The record is from RNAcentral.
GACGAACGCUGGCGGCGUGCUUAACACAUGCAAGUCGUACGGUAAGGCCCUUUCGGGGGUACACGAGUGGCGAACGGGUGAGUAACACGUGCGUAACCUGCCCACAACUUUGGGAUAACGCUAGGAAACUGGUGCUAAUACUGGAUAUGUGCUCCUGCUGCAUGGUGGGGGUUGGAAAGCUCCGGCGGUUGUGGAUGGACUCGCGGCCUAUCAGCUUGUUGGUGGGGUAGUGGCCUACCAAGGCGGCGACGGGUAGCCGGCCUGAGAGGGUGACCGGCCACAUUGGGACUGAGAUACGGCCCAGACUCCUACGGGAGGCAGCAGUGGGGAAUAUUGCACAAUGGGCGCAAGCCUGAUGCAGCAACGCCGCGUGCGGGAUGACGGCCUUCGGGUUGGAAACCGCUUUCAGCAGGGACGAAGCUUUUUGUGACGGUACCUGCAGAAGAAGCACCGGCUAACUACGUG